UACAGAGGUCUCAAGCGUUGUUCGGAUUCAUUGGGCGUAAAGGGUGCGUCGGCGGCGCGGUAAGUCGGGUGUGAAAUCUCGGAGCUUAACUCCGAAACUGCAUUCGAUACUGCCGUGCUUGAGGACUGGAGAGGAGACUGGAAUUUACGGUGUAGCGGUGAAAUGCGUAGAUAUCGUAAGGAAGACCAGUGGCGAAGGCGGGUCUCUGGGACGGUACUGACGCUGAGACGCGAAAGCGUGGGGAGCGAACAGG
This 253-nucleotide ribosomal RNA is filed under the name uncultured bacterium. RNAcentral describes it as "partial 16S ribosomal RNA". It matches the Rfam family "Bacterial small subunit ribosomal RNA", at positions 524 to 776 of the family's 1533-position model. The record is from RNAcentral.